RNAcentral lists this ribosomal RNA (301 nucleotides) under uncultured bacterium. RNAcentral's name for it is "partial 16S ribosomal RNA". It matches the Rfam family "Bacterial small subunit ribosomal RNA", at positions 509 to 808 of the family's 1533-position model. The record is from RNAcentral.
CAGUAGCCACGGUAAUACGUAGGGUGCGAGCGUUAAUCGAAUUACUGGGCGUAAAGCGUGCGCAGGCGGUUUUGUAAGACAGGCGUGAAAUCCCCGGGCUCAACCUGGGAAUGGCGCUUGUGACUGCAAAGCUAGAGUGCGGCAGAGGGGGAUGGAAUUCCGCGUGUAGCAGUGAAAUGCGUAGAUAUGCGGAGGAACACCGAUGGCGAAGGCAAUCCCCUGGGCCUGCACUGACGCUCAUGCACGAAAGCGUGGGGAGCAAACAGGAUUAGAUACCCGCGUAGUCCCUGUCUCUUAUACA